This 301-nucleotide ribosomal RNA is filed under the name uncultured bacterium. Its description in RNAcentral is "partial 16S ribosomal RNA". It matches the Rfam family "Bacterial small subunit ribosomal RNA", at positions 509 to 807 of the family's 1533-position model. The record is from RNAcentral.
CAGUCGCCACGGGAAUACGAAGGGGGCUAGCGUUGUUCGGAAUUACUGGGCGUAAAGGGCGCGUAGGCGGCCAUUCAAGUUAGAUGUGAAAGCCCUGGGCUCAACCUAGGAAUUGCAUUUGAUACUGUUUGGCUUGAGUUCGGGAGAGGUGAGUGGAAUUCCCAAUGUAGAGGUGAAAUUCGUAGAUAUUGGGAAGAACACCAGUGGCGAAGGCGGCUCACUGGACCGACACUGACGCUGAGGCGCGAAAGCGUGGGGAGCAAACAGGAUUAGAUACCCCUGUAGUCCCUGUCUCUUAUAC